This 497-nucleotide ribosomal RNA is filed under the name uncultured bacterium. RNAcentral's name for it is "partial 16S ribosomal RNA". It matches the Rfam family "Bacterial small subunit ribosomal RNA", at positions 28 to 507 of the family's 1533-position model. The record is from RNAcentral.
GAUGAACGCUGGCGGCGUGCCUAAUACAUGCAAGUCGAGCGAACAGAUAAGGAGCUUGCUCCUUUGACGUUAGCGGCGGACGGGUGAGUAACACGUGGGUAACCUACCUAUAAGACUGGAAUAACUCCGGGAAACCGGGGCUAAUGCCGGAUAACAUGUUGAACCGCAUGGUUCUACAGUGAAAGGCGGCUUUGCUGUCACUUAUAGAUGGACCCGCGCCGUAUUAGCUAGUUGGUGAGGUAACGGCUCACCAAGGCAACGAUACGUAGCCGACCUGAGAGGGUGAUCGGCCACACUGGAACUGAGACACGGUCCAGACUCCUACGGGAGGCAGCAGUAGGGAAUCUUCCGCAAUGGGCGAAAGCCUGACGGAGCAACGCCGCGUGAGUGAUGAAGGUCUUCGGAUCGUAAAACUCUGUUAUUAGGGAAGAACAAAUGCGUAAGUAACUGUGCGCGUCUUGACGGUACCUAAUCAGAAAGCCACGGCUAACUAAGUG